GUGGCAACUUUGUGAAUGAGAUGGUCUUCUUUUUUGAAGGUAAAGUAACUUGUUGGUGAGGAAACAACUUUUGUCAGAGAAGCAUCUGGCUGAUAAUUUUGUUGAUGAUUUGUUGGUGGAGCAUCUGGUCGGUGAAAAAAUAAACUUUUACUGGAGAAGCAUCUGGCUAAUAACUUUGUUAGUAGGGCAGCACAUGUUGGUGAAGCAUUUUGGUAAGGCAACCAUUUUGUCGAUG
Molecule: long non-coding RNA, 235 nt
Filed under: Elaeis guineensis (African oil palm)
Lineage: Eukaryota; Viridiplantae; Streptophyta; Magnoliopsida; Arecales; Arecaceae
Description: long non-coding RNA (EGUI_LNC062992)
Source: RNAcentral